GCAUCUGUAGCUCAGUGGAUAGAGCGCCGGCCUCCGGAGCCGGGUGCGUGGGUUCAAUUCCCGUCAGAUGCA
Molecule: transfer RNA, 72 nt
Filed under: Candidatus Onthocola gallistercoris
Lineage: Bacteria; Bacillati; Bacillota; Bacilli
Description: tRNA-Arg
Rfam family: tRNA
About the family: Transfer RNA (tRNA) molecules are approximately 80 nucleotides in length. Their secondary structure includes four short double-helical elements and three loops (D, anti-codon, and T loops).
Source: RNAcentral